CCUCGUUCUGGGAGAGGCAAGUUGUCAUACUGUGGAGGGGCUCACAUGGCAAGGAACCAAGGGAGGUCUCCAGCUAGCAGCCCACAAAGAACUGAGGUUCUCAGUCCAACAACACCUGAAGAGCUGAAUCCUGCCAACAACUGCAUGAGUGAGCUUGAAAACAAUCAUCCCAUAAUUCUGGAAGACACCUUGACUACAGCCUUCCAAGAGACACUGAGCCAGAGGCACCUACCUAAGCCAAGGUCAGAUGUCUGACUACAGAAGCUGAAACCAGAGAAGCCCCAGGUGCUUGCUGGGCUGAUCAGUGUAAUGGGUAGAGAGAAGAACCAGAAGAAGCCUAAAGGGAUCAUCCUGUCACAGACUUUCUCUCCUAACACCUUUUCUGUACACUGAGCCACCAUGUAAGAAGUUCAGCUACCCUGCUGGGGAGAGUACCAAGACAGACUCUGUGACUACAUGGAGGGGAAGAGGGUGCAGUCAGCCUUACAGCCAUUUUCGCCAAGGUACCAGGUAUGUAAGUAAAGUCAUCUUGAAACCUCCAGACCAGACCAGCCACCAACUAAAUACCACCACAUCAUGUAAUCUCAGUAAAUGCUAUGUGGAACAGGACCAUUCAGUCAAACCCUGCCAGAAUCUCAGACUUAUAAAAUCACUAGAUAUAAUAAAACAAUUGUUGCAAACCAGUAAGUUUGGGUAGUUCGUAAUUCAGUAGACAAAUGGAGAAGUUGUGCUCUAAGAAAACAGAAGUCUAAGAAAAUAGAAGACUUAGAGCAAUUUUAGUUAGACUGGUGCUUUGGCUGGAAUGGGCCACCUCCAAAAUUCAGGUGUUGCCAAUAUGUUAGUAUUAACAGGUGGGGUCUUUAA
Long non-coding RNA from Rhinopithecus roxellana (golden snub-nosed monkey), 864 nucleotides. RefSeq lists it as uncharacterized. The record is from RefSeq and is a predicted model, not a curated record. NCBI's taxonomy places the organism in Eukaryota, Metazoa, Chordata, Mammalia, Primates, Cercopithecidae. The transcript is spliced from 3 exons.